This is a long non-coding RNA of Schistocerca americana (American grasshopper), 658 nucleotides long. RefSeq lists it as uncharacterized. The transcript has 2 exons. The record is from RefSeq and is a predicted model, not a curated record. NCBI's taxonomy places the organism in Eukaryota, Metazoa, Arthropoda, Insecta, Orthoptera, Acrididae.
CGCAGCCGCUGGCCGACGCCCUGGGGGACCUCGCUGCCACCUCCGCCGCCGUCACGGGCGCCGCCGCUGCUGCCACGUUAUCCAUCCUGGUGAUUGCCGCCUUCUACGCUGCAGAGAUUCGAAAAAGAACUGAAACCACAGCGGAACCGGCUGAUGCACAACAGACCCUUUUGAGGAACCUCAGACCAAGAGACGGAUAACGUAAAGUCAACGUACCACACAGAAAUUUAUGUAAUUCGGUAACGGUUGUUCGUUUGGGUAUUGUGAAACCAUGAAAGACAAUGUCUCAGUGUACGAGCAUACUAAGCUCGUAUUUAUGAGAAGAAAUUCUGUUCUGAGUACAAUUUGUUCAAUAACAUCAGUCUUUUACAUAUGCUCUGUAACAGCGGAGGGAUACAUUAGUUUUCCAGUAAUUGUUCAGUGGUAAUGCUUUGAUUGUACCUAUUUAUGCAGUUUACUAGAUUUUAUACAGAGAGCGACAGAACUUUUCGCAUGUAAUAGAGAUAAUUGUUCAUAUGAAACUGAAAAAUCUCUACAACAUUUUAUUAAGACAUCUGACCAAGUAAUGCAUGUACCAUAAUAUAUAAUUUAUUUCCAUUAGAAAGCAAAAGUAAGUCACACAAAGAUUUUCUGGAAUAAAGUAAACUGUCAACACUCA